CGGGGCGUAGCUUAAUUGGCGAAGCGCUCGCUUUGGGAGCGAGAGAUUGCGUGUUCAAGUCACGCCGUCCCGA
RNAcentral lists this transfer RNA (73 nucleotides) under Tsukubamonas globosa. RNAcentral describes it as "tRNA-Pro". It matches the Rfam family "tRNA". Rfam says of the family: Transfer RNA (tRNA) molecules are approximately 80 nucleotides in length. Their secondary structure includes four short double-helical elements and three loops (D, anti-codon, and T loops). Further hydrogen bonds mediate the characteristic L-shaped molecular structure. tRNAs have two regions of fundamental functional importance: the anti-codon, which is responsible for specific mRNA codon recognition, and the 3' end, to which the tRNAs corresponding amino acid is attached (by aminoacyl-tRNA synthetases). tRNAs cope with the degeneracy of the genetic code in two manners: having more than one tRNA (with a specific anti-codon) for a particular amino acid; and 'wobble' base-pairing, i.e. permitting non-standard base-pairing at the 3rd anti-codon position. The record is from RNAcentral. Lineage: Eukaryota; Tsukubea; Tsukubamonadida; Tsukubamonadidae.